GGACAUAAAUUGGACGUGAAACGUACAUCCACUGGAUGUCUGGUGUUGUCUGGGAAUGUGGAACAGCGGAAUGCUUGGAUAGCUUGGAUUAUUUGUAAACGACCUGGAUGGAUUCUGAAGACUAAUAGCAGAAUUUGUGAGUUGCAUUUUGUUCCUGAGGAUUAUGUAUACACAAGAGGAAAUAAAAGUCGAAAGCUGAAAAUAUCUGCUUCCUUCAUUAGCACUGCAUCCUUUCAGUAGGCACAGGACUGCUCAGCAAUAGAAAAUACUCAUAAAGAGGAAGAUUUACAACAAAGUG
Long non-coding RNA from Harpegnathos saltator (Jerdon's jumping ant), 298 nucleotides. RefSeq lists it as uncharacterized. The record is from RefSeq and is a predicted model, not a curated record. NCBI's taxonomy places the organism in Eukaryota, Metazoa, Arthropoda, Insecta, Hymenoptera, Formicidae. The transcript is spliced from 3 exons.